This is a small nucleolar RNA of Erinaceus europaeus (western European hedgehog), 147 nucleotides long. RefSeq annotates it as small nucleolar RNA SNORA79. The transcript has a single exon. The record is from RefSeq and is a predicted model, not a curated record. NCBI's taxonomy places the organism in Eukaryota, Metazoa, Chordata, Mammalia, Eulipotyphla, Erinaceidae.
AGAUGUGAGGUUCCUGCUGUCUUAGGGUUCAAAAAGACAAUCGAUUUUAGUCCAUCAUAUAUCAAAGUUGACUUAUCUUCACUCAGGGCACCAUGGGAUAGGUUGGCUGUCCGUUAGUGUCUCUGAUUUUUGCGGAGUCAAACAAUU